GUUAGCGUAGCAAAACUAGGCAUUGCAAAAGACCUAAACCCUUUUUAUAGAGGUUCAAACCCUCUCACUAACU
This 73-nucleotide transfer RNA is filed under the name Gastrotheca ovifera (giant marsupial frog). RNAcentral's name for it is "tRNA-Leu". It matches the Rfam family "tRNA". From Rfam's summary of the family: Transfer RNA (tRNA) molecules are approximately 80 nucleotides in length. Their secondary structure includes four short double-helical elements and three loops (D, anti-codon, and T loops). Lineage: Eukaryota; Metazoa; Chordata; Amphibia; Anura; Hemiphractidae. The record is from RNAcentral.